AAGUCUGCCUGGGUUGGACCCUAUGACGCAUGUGCUCGCUGGCCAGGUGCGCUGCACGAGCCAUAGCCACCCUGUCUAUUGGUUCAUGGGCUUUGUACAUGCGGCAUAUUGUCAUCAUCCAGCAGUCACGCGCCGAUCAUGCACACAGCUGUGCUGUGCAACAGCCUGC
Molecule: long non-coding RNA, 169 nt
Organism: Aquila chrysaetos chrysaetos
Lineage: Eukaryota; Metazoa; Chordata; Aves; Accipitriformes; Accipitridae
Exons: 3
Source: RefSeq, a predicted model, not a curated record